RNAcentral lists this ribosomal RNA (443 nucleotides) under uncultured bacterium. RNAcentral describes it as "bacterial SSU rRNA". It matches the Rfam family "Bacterial small subunit ribosomal RNA", at positions 29 to 472 of the family's 1533-position model. The record is from RNAcentral.
AUUGAACGCUGGCGGCGUGCCUAACACAUGCAAGUCGAGCGGUAACAGGUGUAGCAAUACAUGCUGACGAGCGGCGGACGGGUGAGUAACGCUUGGGAGUCUGCCUAUUAGUGGGGGACAACCCGGGGAACUCGGGCUAAUACCGCAUACGCUCUACGGAGGAAAGCCGGGGACCGCAAGGCCUGGCGCUAAUAGAUGAGCCCAAGUCGGAUUAGCUAGUUGGUAGGGAACGGCCUACCAAGGCGACAAUCCGUAGCUGGUCUGAGAGGACGACCAGCCACACCGGAACUGAGACACGGUCCGGACUCCUACGGGAGGCAGCAGUGGGGGAAUAUUGGACAAUGGGGGCAACCCUGAUCCAGCGACGCCGCGUGGGUGAAGAAGGCCUGCGGGUUGUAAAGCCCUUUCGGUGGGGAAGAAAAGUCUCGACCUAAUACGUCGGG